CAACGACCGAAAGGAGGUGAUCCAGUGUCUCAUUGCUACGGAGCGCGGUCCGCCGCGUCGGCCACCUGGAUCGCCGCUCCCGCGGGAGCGGCCGCCGCCUGACGGCGGUCGCCGGGUGGCCCUCGCGGCCCCGCGGCAAGGCAAUGGAAGGGUCGUUCCCUCGCGGGAGCGGCCC
RNAcentral lists this small RNA (175 nucleotides) under Oharaeibacter diazotrophicus. Its description in RNAcentral is "caulobacter sRNA CC2171". It matches the Rfam family "caulobacter sRNA CC2171", at positions 1 to 138 of the family's 159-position model. Lineage: Bacteria; Pseudomonadati; Pseudomonadota; Alphaproteobacteria; Hyphomicrobiales; Pleomorphomonadaceae. The record is from RNAcentral.